This 1076-nucleotide long non-coding RNA is filed under the name Vombatus ursinus (common wombat). Its description in RNAcentral is "lncRNA (ENSVURG00010011728.1)". The record is from RNAcentral. Lineage: Eukaryota; Metazoa; Chordata; Mammalia; Diprotodontia; Vombatidae.
GCCAUUAGUAUAUUGGAAGGCAGUCAUAGGAACAGAAACUUCUAUCUAUCAUGUUGACUCUUUGGAAUUUCAGUGUCAUACAUUCUCUUAGCCUAAGCAGUAUUUUUACAUAACAUCUCGAGAGCUGCUUAUUGAAGUCCAGGAUGUUAACCAUGGACAUGAGGCUAAACAGCCUAGGAGCAAAGUGUCCUAAUUUAUUUGUAAAUGCUUUCAAAUGUUGUGGUAGAAGUGCUCCCUAAAGUUAGAAGAGGUUGGGGGCAGGGAGACAGGGCAGGUUGGGUUCUAUUUUGAGACCCGCAGAAGAGGAAGUGAGAUGAGUUUGGAAUGUUCUGUGCCCAGCUCCUCCUAUCACCUGCUGGGGAAAGCUGGAAAAGAGGAAAUGUCCCUGGUGAACCAGGAGUGACUGUCAAGGUGAAAACCUGCACAGGGGAAAGGACAUGGAAAUAAUGGCUCAUGGAGAGGAUUUGGUUUUUGCAAGUUUCCUGAAGAAAAGAAAAGAUAAAAUGAAAUUUUUGUGGGUGCAAUACUGGUUCCAACUUCAAAAUACUACCUUCUCUUUCUUUCUGAAGAAGGGUGGAGAUGCAGCUUGCCUCCGAGGACAAUACCACAUGCACACAGCUGCAGAGACUCCCAAACUUCGUGCUAUGUGGAUUGAAACUUUAUGGAAAUCCAUGCAGCUUAUCGGGCCAUACCUCAGCCAGGCUGCCUACGGAAGGAGUGACUUUCCAAGGCCAUCUGGAGAAGCGUUACCUGGGACUGCACUUGGUGAGGAAGAACUAAGCAAAAGCCAGUCAUCUGCCAAGGAGAACUUUCCCUCUCCAGCCAAGACCAUGAAUAGCUUAAUCCCAGAAGAGAUGUUGGAAAUCAGACCCUACCAUGCUGUGCCAAAUGCAGCCUUCAAUAUUUAUGAUGUCCCAAGAUCCUGGAGGAGCAACAGGCCAGCUGAAAAUAAUCUGGGCAAGUAUAUGUAUACUUGGGGUUCCAGGAUUGGAGUCGUGGCGGGGGGAAGAGGUUAUGUGGGUGUGCAAAGCAAAGAGAGUGUUCUUAGUCAAACAAUAUUCCUUGAACGUCCGUAG